AGUCACCCCCGGUCUCUUCUCUUUCCUCUAGUCUAGUCACGUUCACUCUCUCCUCCUCUAGUCUAGUCACCCCCAGUCUCUUUUCUUUCCUCUAGACUAGUCACGUUCACUCUCUCCUCCUCUAGACUAGUCACCCCCGGUCUCUUUUCUUUCCUCUAGUCUAGUCACCCCCGGUCUCUUUUCUUUCCUCUAGUCUAGUCACGUUCACUCUCUCCUCCUCUAGACUAGUCACCCCCGGUCUCUUUUCUUUCCUCUAGUCUAGUCACCCCCGUCUCUUUUCUUUCCUCUAGACUAGUCACGUUCACUCUCUCCUCCUCUAGACUAGUCACCCC
This 332-nucleotide long non-coding RNA is filed under the name Salmo salar (Atlantic salmon). Its description in RNAcentral is "lncRNA (ENSSSAG00000096955.1)". The record is from RNAcentral. Lineage: Eukaryota; Metazoa; Chordata; Actinopteri; Salmoniformes; Salmonidae.